CAGCCCUUCUCCUAUCCACAA
Molecule: microRNA, 21 nt
Filed under: Pinus taeda (loblolly pine)
Lineage: Eukaryota; Viridiplantae; Streptophyta; Pinopsida; Pinales; Pinaceae
Also listed under: 1 other name
Description: pta-miR946b
Gene: pta-miR946a-3p
Source: miRBase by way of RNAcentral